GUGAGGAAUAUUGGUCAAUGGACGAGAGUCUGAACCAGCCAAGUCGCGUGAAGGAAGACGGUUCUAUGAAUUGUAAACUUCUUUUGUGCAGGAAUAAAGUGGGUUACGUGUAACCUUUUGUAUGUACUGUACGAAUAAGGAUCGGCUAACUCCGUGCCAGCAGCCGCGGUAAUACGGAGGAUCCGAGCGUUAUCCGGAUUUAUUGGGUUUAAAGGGUGCGCAGGCGGGUUGAUAAGUUAGCGGUGAAAGUUUGCAGCUUAACUGUAAAAUUGCCGUUGAAACUGUCGAUCUUGAGUGCAAAUGAGGUAAGCGGAAUGUGUUGUGUAGCGGUGAAAUGCUUAGAUAUAACACAGAACACCGAUUGCGAAGGCAGCUUACUGGGAUGCAACUGACGCUCAUGCACGAAAGCGUGGGGAUCAAACAGGAUUAGAUACCCUUGUAGUCC
This 445-nucleotide ribosomal RNA is filed under the name uncultured bacterium. RNAcentral describes it as "partial 16S ribosomal RNA". It matches the Rfam family "Bacterial small subunit ribosomal RNA", at positions 354 to 796 of the family's 1533-position model. The record is from RNAcentral.